RNAcentral lists this ribosomal RNA (492 nucleotides) under uncultured bacterium. RNAcentral's name for it is "partial 16S ribosomal RNA". It matches the Rfam family "Bacterial small subunit ribosomal RNA", at positions 29 to 507 of the family's 1533-position model. The record is from RNAcentral.
AGUGAACGCUGGCGGUAGGCCUAACACACGCAAGUCGAACGGCAGCACAGUAAGAGCUUGCUCUUACGGGUGGCGAGUGGUGGACGGGUGAGGAAUACAUCGGUAUCUACUUUUUCGUGGGGGAUAACGUAGGGAAACUUACGCUAAUACCGCAUACGACCUACGGGUGAAAGCAGGGGAUCUUCGGACCUUGCGCGAUUGAAUGAGCCGAUGUCGGAUUAGCUAGUUGGCGGGGUAAAGGCCCACCAAGGCGACGAUCCGUAGCUGGUCUGAGAGGAUGAUCAGCCACACUGGAACUGAGACACGGUCCAGACUCCUACGGGAGGCAGCAGUGGGGAAUAUUGGACAAUGGGCGCAAGCCUGAUCCAGCCAUACCGCGUGGGUGAAGAAGGCCUUCGGGUUGUAAAGCACUUUUGUUGGGAAAGAAAAGCAGCAGGUUAAUACCCCGCUGUUCUGACGGUACCCAAAGAAUAAGCACCGGCUAACUUCGUG